RNAcentral lists this ribosomal RNA (648 nucleotides) under uncultured Bacteroides sp. RNAcentral's name for it is "bacterial SSU rRNA". It matches the Rfam family "Bacterial small subunit ribosomal RNA", at positions 73 to 715 of the family's 1533-position model. Lineage: Bacteria; Pseudomonadati; Bacteroidota; Bacteroidia; Bacteroidales; Bacteroidaceae. The record is from RNAcentral.
UCUUAGCUUGCUAAGGCCGAUGGCGACCGGCGCACAGGUGAGUAACACGUAUCCAACCUGCCGUCUACUCUUGGGCAGCCUUCUGAAAGGAAGAUUACUACAAGAUGGCAUCAUGAGUUCACAUGUUCACAUGAUUAAAGGUAUUCCGGUAGACGAUGGGGAUGCGUUCCAUUAGAUAGUAGGCGGGGUAACGGCCCACCUAGUCUUCGAUGGAUAGGGGUUCUGAGAGGAAGGUCCCCCACAUUGGAACUGAGACACGGUCCAAACUCCUACGGGAGGCAGCAGUGAGGAAUAUUGGUCAAUGGGCGCAGGCCUGAACCAGCCAAGUAGCGUGAAGGAUGACUGCCCUAUGGGUUGUAAACUUCUUUUAUAAAGGAAUAAAGUCGGGUAUGUAUACCCGUUUGCAUGUACUUUAUGAAUAAGGAUCGGCUAACUCCGUGCCAGCAGCCGCGGUAAUACGGAGGAUCCGAGCGUUAUCCGGAUUUAUUGGGUUUAAAGGGAGCGUAGAUGGAUGUUUAAGUCAGUUGUGAAAGUUUGCGGCUCAACCGUAAAAUUGCAGUUGAUACUGGAUAUCUUGAGUGCAGUUGAGGCAGGCGGAAUUCGUGGUGUAGCGGUGAAAUGCUUAGAUAUCACGAAGAACUCCGAUUG